This 492-nucleotide ribosomal RNA is filed under the name uncultured bacterium. Its description in RNAcentral is "partial 16S ribosomal RNA". It matches the Rfam family "Bacterial small subunit ribosomal RNA", at positions 29 to 507 of the family's 1533-position model. The record is from RNAcentral.
AGUGAACGCUGGCGGUAGGCCUAACACAUGCAAGUCGAACGGCAGCACAGUAAGAGCUUGCUCUUACGGGUGGCGAGUGGCGGACGGGUGAGGAAUACAUCGGAAUCUACUUUUUCGUGGGGGAUAACGUAGGGAAACUUACGCUAAUACCGCAUACGACCUACGGGUGAAAGCAGGGGAUCUUCGGACCUUGCGCGAUUGAAUGAGCCGAUGUCGGAUUAGCUAGUUGGCGGGGUAAAGGCCCACCAAGGCGACGAUCCGUAGCUGGUCUGAGAGGAUGAUCAGCCACACUGGAACUGAGACACGGUCCAGACUCCUACGGGAGGCAGCAGUAGGGAAUAUUGGACAAUGGUCGCAAGCCUGAUCCAGCCAUACCGCGUGGGUGAAGAAGGCCUUCGGGUUGUAAAGCCCUUUUGUUGGGAAAGAAAAGCAGCAGGUUAAUACCCCGCUGUUCUGACGGUACCCAAAGAAUAAGCACCGGCUAACUUCGUG